This 253-nucleotide ribosomal RNA is filed under the name uncultured bacterium. Its description in RNAcentral is "partial 16S ribosomal RNA". It matches the Rfam family "Bacterial small subunit ribosomal RNA", at positions 524 to 776 of the family's 1533-position model. The record is from RNAcentral.
UACGAAGGGGGCUAGCGUUGCUCGGAAUCACUGGGCGUAAAGCGCACGUAGGCGGAUCUUUAAGUCAGGGGUGAAAUCCCAAGGCUCAACCUUGGAACUGCCUUCGAUACUGGGGAUCUCGAGUCCGGAAGAGGUGAGUGGAACUGCGAGUGUAGAGGUGAAAUUCGUAGAUAUUCGCAAGAACACCAGUGGCGAAGGCGGCUCACUGGUCCGGUACUGACGCUGAGGUGCGAAAGCGUGGGGAGCAAACAGG